GAGGCUAUAGCCAGGAUUGCACAAAGUCAUGAGGCUAUAGCCAGGAUUGCACAAAGUCAUGAGGCUAUAGCGAGGGCUGCACAAAGUCCUGAGGUUAUAGCCAGGACUGAGGACUGCACAAAGUCAUGAGGCUAUAGCGAAGAUUGCACAAAGUCAAGAGGCUAUAGCCAGGAUUGCACAAAGUCAUGAGGCUAUAGCCAGGACUGAGGACUGCACAAAGUCAUGAGGUUAUAGCCAGGACUGAGGACUGCACAAAGUCAUGAGGCUAUAGCGAAGAUUGCACAAAGUCAAGAGGCUAUAGCCAGGAUUGCACAAAGUCAUGAGGCUAUAGCCAGGACUGAGGACUGCACAAAGUCAUGAGGCUAUAGCCAGGACUGAGGACUGCACAAAGUCAUGAGGCUAUAGCAAGG
Haliotis rubra (blacklip abalone) is the source of this 410-nucleotide long non-coding RNA. RefSeq lists it as uncharacterized. The transcript is spliced from 3 exons. Lineage: Eukaryota; Metazoa; Mollusca; Gastropoda; Lepetellida; Haliotidae. The record is from RefSeq and is a predicted model, not a curated record.